Molecule: ribosomal RNA, 254 nt
Filed under: uncultured microorganism
Description: partial 16S ribosomal RNA
Rfam family: Archaeal small subunit ribosomal RNA
Source: RNAcentral
CACCGGCGGCUCGAGUGGUGGCCACUUUUAUUGGGUCUAAAGCGUCCGUAGCCGGCUUGGCAAGUCCCCUGGGAAAUCUGGCGGCUUAACCGUCAGGCGUCCAGAGGAUACUGCCAGGCUUGGGACCGGGAGAGGUGAGAGGUACCUCAGGUGUAGGGGUGAAAUCUUGUGAUCCCUGAGGGACCACCAGUGGCGAAGGCGUCUCACUAGAACGGGUCCGACGGUCAGGGACGAAAGCUGGGGGCACGAACCGG